This 466-nucleotide ribosomal RNA is filed under the name uncultured bacterium. RNAcentral's name for it is "partial 16S ribosomal RNA". It matches the Rfam family "Bacterial small subunit ribosomal RNA", at positions 28 to 506 of the family's 1533-position model. The record is from RNAcentral.
GACGAACGCUGGCGGCGUGCUUAACACAUGCAAGUCGAACGGAAGGGCUCCAGCUUGCUGGAGUACUCGAGUGGCGAACGGGUGAGUAACACGUGGGUAAUCUGCCCUGCACUCUGGGAUAAGCCUGGGAAACUGGGUCUAAUACUGGAUAUGACCUUUCUCCUUAUGGGGUUUGGUGGAAAGUUUUUCGGUGUAGGAUGAGCCCGCGGCCUAUCAGCUUGUUGGGGGGGUGAUGGCCUACCAAGGCGACGACGGGUAGCCGGCCUGAGGGGGUGAUCGGCCCAAUGGGGAAUGGGAACGGCCCCAACCCCCGACGGGGGGAAGCGGGGGGGAAUUUUGAAAAAGGGGGGGAAGCCUGAGGCAGCGACGCCGGGUGGGGGAGGACGGCCUUCGGGUUGAAAACCUCUUUCAGCGGGGACGAAGCGUAAGGGACGGUACCGGCAAAAGAAGCACCGGCAAACUAUGU